Molecule: long non-coding RNA, 724 nt
Organism: Coffea arabica (coffee)
Lineage: Eukaryota; Viridiplantae; Streptophyta; Magnoliopsida; Gentianales; Rubiaceae
Source: RefSeq, a predicted model, not a curated record
UGGUAGGAGGAUAACUACAGACUCCCUCAUAACUACUAAGGGGAAAGCCUUAUAAAUAGUGGUUCAGGGGAUCAAGAAAAGGUACGCACACAAAAUACGACACUCUUAUUCUCCCAUAAUCUAUUAUUUGCCAAAUUGACUUGAGCGUCGGAGUAACAAGUCGGAGUACAGUGGGAAAUUAAUCCCACUGUAUGCCUCGUUGCAAGUCGGAGUAACAACGGAGAGCUAGUCCCACUGUACGCCUCAUUACAGGUCGGCUCGCCCGCUCCUAUUUGGCACGCCCUGUUUGGUCCGUGCUCCAGGAGCAGGACAAGGACCGGACACGAUUAGGAAACGUUCUCUUCAAUCUUCGUCAACCAGGAAAACAAGAGCCAUAGUGGAGCUCCAGACCUUUGCAUUUAGCAAUUCCCAUUCUUGGACAUGAAGGGUAAAUUCCAACAUCUUUGUACAGAGAAAGAGUCGUUCAAUUCCCAGGGACAUGGCUUAUCAAAUCGAAGUAGCGGCCAUUCAAAUUGGACGACUUCUGGGCAAGUGGCCCAGCCAGCAUAUGACCAUCGGCAAUUGGGAAAUUUCUUUCUUCUUUGACGUUUGCUUGGUUUUUGGAUAUUUAACUGUGGUCUAUGAAAAUGAUAUGUAAAUGCUUGUGGUACUCUAUUUAUUGGUCCAAGUUUCGACACAUCAAUUUAUAGUCUAGACAUGGUAUAAAAUUUCCCAUCAAUUAGGU